Molecule: ribosomal RNA, 468 nt
Filed under: uncultured bacterium
Lineage: Bacteria
Description: partial 16S ribosomal RNA
Rfam family: Bacterial small subunit ribosomal RNA
Source: RNAcentral
GACGAACGCUGGCGGCGUGCUUAACACAUGCAAGUCGAACGGAAAGGCCCUGCUUUUGUGGGGUGCUCGAGUGGCGAACGGGUGAGUAACACGUGAGUAACCUGCCCUUGACUUUGGGAUAACUUCAGGAAACUGGGGCUAAUACCGGAUAGGAGCUCCUGCUGCAUGGUGGGGGUUGGAAAGUUUCGGCGGUUGGGGAUGGACUCGCGGCUUAUCAGCUUGUUGGUGGGGUAGUGGCUUACGAAGGCGUUGACGGGUAGCCGGCCUGGGAGGGUGACCGGCCACAUUGGGACUGGGAUACGGGCCAGACUCCUACGGGAGGCAGCGGUGGGGAAUAUUGCGCAAUGGGCGGAAGCCUGAUGCAGCAACGCCGCGUGCGAGAUGACGGCCUUCGGGUUGUAAACCGCUUUCGCCUGUGACGAAGCGUGAGUGACGGUAAUGGGUAAAGAAGCACCGGCUAACUACGUG